Molecule: ribosomal RNA, 253 nt
Filed under: uncultured bacterium
Lineage: Bacteria
Description: partial 16S ribosomal RNA
Rfam family: Bacterial small subunit ribosomal RNA
Source: RNAcentral
UACGAAGGGGGCUAGCGUUGUUCGGAAUUACUGGGCGUAAAGCGCACGUAGGCGGAUUUGUAAGUUAGGGGUGAAAUCCCGGGGCUCAACCUCGGAACUGCCUUUGAUACUGCAAAUCUCGAGUCCUGAAGAGGUGAGUGGAAUUCCUAGUGUAGAGGUGAAAUUCGUAGAUAUUAGGAAGAACACCAGUGGCGAAGGCGGCUCACUGGUCCGGUACUGACGCUGAGGUGCGAAAGCGUGGGGAGCAAACAGG